RNAcentral lists this ribosomal RNA (247 nucleotides) under uncultured bacterium. RNAcentral describes it as "partial 16S ribosomal RNA". It matches the Rfam family "Bacterial small subunit ribosomal RNA", at positions 523 to 769 of the family's 1533-position model. The record is from RNAcentral.
AUACGUAGGGGGGCGAGCGUUAUCCGGAAUUAUUGGGCGUAAAGAGUGCGUAGGUGGUUUUGUAAGCGCGAGGUGAAAGGCUAUGGCUCAACCAUAGUAAGCCUUGCGAACUGUGAGACUUGAGUGCAGGAGAGGAAAGUGGAAUUCCUAGUGUAGCGGUGAAAUGCGUAGAUAUUAGGAGGAACACCAGUGGCGAAGGCGACUUUCUGGACUGUUACUGACACUGAGGCACGAAAGCGUGGGGAGC